UCCGGAUUUACUGGGUGUAAAGGGUGCGUAGGCGGCUUUGCAAGUCAGAUGUGAAAUCUAUGGGCUCAACCCAUAAACUGCAUUUGAAACUGUAGAGCUUGAGUGAAGUAGAGGCAGGCGGAAUUCCCCGUGUAGCGGUGAAAUGCGUAGAGAUGGGGAGGAACACCAGUGGCGAAGGCGGCCUGCUGGGCUUUAACUGACGCUGAGGCACGAAAGCGUGGGUACCAAACAGGAUUACAUACCCUG
RNAcentral lists this ribosomal RNA (246 nucleotides) under uncultured bacterium. RNAcentral describes it as "partial 16S ribosomal RNA". It matches the Rfam family "Bacterial small subunit ribosomal RNA", at positions 544 to 789 of the family's 1533-position model. The record is from RNAcentral.